This 306-nucleotide unclassified non-coding RNA is filed under the name uncultured Acrophialophora. Its description in RNAcentral is "sequence contains ITS1". The stretch from base 1 to 105 matches the Rfam family "5.8S ribosomal RNA", at positions 50 to 154 of the family's 154-position model. Lineage: Eukaryota; Fungi; Ascomycota; Sordariomycetes; Sordariales; Chaetomiaceae. The record is from RNAcentral.
GAAAUGCGAUAAGUAAUGUGAAUUGCAGAAUUCAGUGAAUCAUCGAAUCUUUGAACGCACAUUGCGCCCGCCAGUAUUCUGGCGGGCAUGCCUGUUCGAGCGUCAUUUCAACCAUCAAGCCCCCGGGGUUGUGUUGGGGACCUGCGGCGGCCGCAGGCCCCGAAAAGCAGUGGCGUGCUCGCUGUCGCACCGAGCGUAGUAGCAAUCACCUCGCUCAGGGCGUGCCGUGGGCGCGCGCCGUUAGACGGCCAACUUAUACCCCCGCAGGUAGACCUCGGAUCAGGUAGGAAUACCCGCUGAACUUAA